AGUGAACGCUGGCGGUAGGCCUAACACAUGCAAGUCGAACGGCAGCACAGGAGAGCUUGCUCUCUGGGUGGCGAGUGGCGGACUGGUGAGGAAUACAUCGGAAUCUACUUUUUCGUGGGGGAUAACGUAGGGAAACUUACGCUAAUACCGCAUACGACCUACGGGUGAAAGCAGGGGAUCUUCGGACCUUGCGCGAUUGAAUGGGCCGAUGUCGGAUUAGCUAGUUGGCGGGGUAAAGGCCCACCAAGGCGACGAUCCGUAGCUGGUCUGCGAGGAUGAUCAGCCACACUGGAACUGAGACACGGUCCAGACUCCUACGGGAGGCAGCAGUGGGGAAUAUUGGACAAUGGGCGCAAGCCUGAUCCAGCCAUACCGCGUGGGUGAAGAAGGCCUUCGGGUUGUAAAGCCCUUUUGUUGGGAAAGAAAUCCAUCUGGUUAAUACCCGGGUGGGAUGACGGUACCCAAAGAAUAAGCACCGGCUAACUUCGUGCCAGCCGCCGCCGUAA
RNAcentral lists this ribosomal RNA (506 nucleotides) under uncultured bacterium. RNAcentral describes it as "partial 16S ribosomal RNA". It matches the Rfam family "Bacterial small subunit ribosomal RNA", at positions 29 to 523 of the family's 1533-position model. The record is from RNAcentral.